UCAGACGAUGCGUCAUGCAUAUCAAUAAGCGGAGGAAAAGAAACUAACAAGGAUUCCCUUAGUAACGGUGAGUGAAGCGGGAAGAGCUCAAAUUUGAAAUCUUCAAGGUUUUACCUUGACGAAUUGUAGUUUAAAGAAGUGUUUUCUGCUGAAGUUUUGGUAAAAGUUCUUUGGAAUAGGACAUCAUAGAGGGUGAGAAUCCCGUAUUUGACCAUUAUUUUCAGCUUUGUGAUACACUUUCAAAGAGUCGGAUUGUUUGGGAAUGCAGUCCAAAAUGGGUGGUAAAUUUCAUCUAAAGCUAAAUAUUGGCGAGAGACCGAUAGCGAACAAGUACCGUGAGGGAAAGAUGAAAAGAACUUUGAAAAGAGAGUUAAACAGUACGUGAAAUUGUCAAAAGGGAAGCGUUUGACACCAGUGUUGUUUUCUCGAAAAUCAAUUAAAAAUGGCUCGAUUUUGUAUUGCUUGAGACCUUAAAAGCUCACUGUACAUUUUUCGUGUCUUUUUUAAUGCACUUUUCGUUUAACAAGUCAACAUCAGUUUCUUUUGUUGUAAAAGGGUCAUUGGAAGGUGGCUUUCUUUUCGGAGAAAGUGUUUAUAGCCUUUGGCCUCUGCAAUCGAAGAGACUGAGGUCUGCAGCGUAGACUCUUCGGGGUUAGAUACAUUUGUGCUAAGUUAUAGCUUUUUAUAGACAACUUGUUGACUAUAAUUAGUCUUGUAGCUUACUCGCUUAUGCUAUUUUACCUACGCUUAGGAUGUUGACGAUCAGCUGAGCGCG
Molecule: ribosomal RNA, 775 nt
Filed under: uncultured Neocallimastigales
Lineage: Eukaryota; Fungi; Neocallimastigomycota; Neocallimastigomycetes; Neocallimastigales
Description: partial large subunit ribosomal RNA
Rfam family: Eukaryotic large subunit ribosomal RNA
Source: RNAcentral